Xiphophorus couchianus (Monterrey platyfish) is the source of this 735-nucleotide long non-coding RNA. RefSeq lists it as uncharacterized. NCBI's taxonomy places the organism in Eukaryota, Metazoa, Chordata, Actinopteri, Cyprinodontiformes, Poeciliidae. The record is from RefSeq and is a predicted model, not a curated record. The transcript is spliced from 2 exons.
GUAACCAGGAUCAUUUUCUAUAUUAGGUUUAAUUUAUUUAUUUUAUUUUCCAUUUUGUUAGAUUUAUUUAAAAAGAAAAAAAAGGUUUAAUUAAAUGUUUUCCUCUUCCCCUUUAAUUUAUUUAACACCAACCAGGCGAGAACAAUAGUGUUCUCGCGUGACUCUGACGUCAUGUGACAGCUGCACAUCAGCGUCCUAAAUUGAUAGCACAGUUUAUAUGGUUGCAAAUCGCAGCUUAGGCAGAACCGCUGUGGGACUCUGAUGUGCAGGUAGGACUGGUCUGUUUCCAAAGAGGUUUCAGAUCUUUAUUGUCUAUUUUUCAAUCGUGUAAUUAUGUUAACUUGCAGCCGGGUGAAUACUCAACCAAGCGUUGCAAGAAUCACGGUUAGUCAAGAAGGAACUGGCCAGGUGCGUUGCAGAUCCCUCGCGUAAGGAGUGGCUGGAGGGAUCUUGACAAUAGCAAGGAUUGUCUGGUUUCACUGACCAGACUGGCGAGCUAAAAUAAGCAGGAUCCAGAAACACAAGACUUAUCAUCUGGGAACAUUCUUCCGAACUAAUUGGAGGAUCAGCUCAAGUCCCCAUUGAAGGAAGUGGAUUAUUUUGAGUUUUUCCAUCAUCAACAAAGACUGGUGGACGUCCUUGAUAUAAGGAACUUUAACUUGUUUUUCUUUAAACUAUGGACUAAUGUGUAUAUAUAUUGUAAAUACUAAAUACAACUCACUAAUUUGCACCAUC